AUCAACGCUAAUCGGAUCAGGGUCAGUCGGGUCCUAAGGCUCAGCCGAACGGCGAGGCCGAUGGCAGAACCGGUUAAUAUUCCGGUACUACCUGUGGGAGUGACGUGGAGACGGAGUCGUGACAGCGCCGCGGACUGACGGAAUAGUCCGUUGAAGGGUGUAGAUGUUGAUUAUCCCAGGCAAAUCCGGGAUAAGAGUCGAACCUGAUAGUAUGGAGCGUUCUUCGGAACAAUCCAAUAGUGCGUGUAAUCAUACUCCCAAGAAAAUCCGCUAAACUUAAUCCUUGAGGUACCCGUACCGCAAACGGACACACGUAGUCGGGUUGAAUAUACUAAGGCGCUUGAGUGAUUCACGGUUAAGGAACUAGGCAAAUUGACCCUGUAACUUCGGGAUAAAGGGUCCCAACGAGAGUUGGGCGCAGAGAAUAGGUCCAGGCAACUGUUUAACAAAAACACAGGGCUGUGCCAAAUUGAAAGAUUACGUAUACAGCCUGACACCUGCCCGGUGCUGGAAGGUUAAGAGGAGAUGUCAUCGCAAGAGAAGCAUUGAAUUGAAGCCCCAGUAAACGGCGGCCGUAACUAUAACGGUCCUAAGGUAGCGAAAUUCCUUGUCGGGUAAGUUCCGACCUGCACGAAUGGUGUAAUGAUCUGGACACUGUCUCAACCGUGAGCUCAGUGAAAUUGUAGUAUCGGUGAAGAUGCCGAUUACCCGCGAUGGGACGAAAAGACCCCGUGAACCUUUACUAUAGCUUAACAUUGAAUUUGGGUAAUUGAUGUGUAGGAUAGGCCGGAGGCUUUGAAGCGGGCACGCCAGUGUCCGUGGAGCCGCUGUUGAAAUACGGCCCUUUGAUUAUUUGAGUUCUAACCCGUUGAUGCGGGGACACUGUUUGGUGGGUAGUUUGACUGGGGUGGUCGCCUCCAAAAGUGUAACGGAGGCUUCUAAAGGUGCCCUCAGGACGAUUGGUAACCGUCCGCAGAGUGUAAUGGCAUAAGGGCGCUUGACUGGGAGACUUACAAGUCGAUCAGGUAGGAAACUAGAGCAUAGUGAUCCGGUGUUUCUGUAUGGAAAGGACAUCGCUCAAAGGAUAAAAGGUACUCCGGGGAUAACAGGCUGAUCCCUCCCA
Molecule: ribosomal RNA, 1123 nt
Filed under: human gut metagenome
Description: bacterial LSU rRNA
Rfam family: Bacterial large subunit ribosomal RNA
Source: RNAcentral